Molecule: long non-coding RNA, 941 nt
Organism: Papaver somniferum (opium poppy)
Lineage: Eukaryota; Viridiplantae; Streptophyta; Magnoliopsida; Ranunculales; Papaveraceae
Exons: 2
Source: RefSeq, a predicted model, not a curated record
GGUUAUGAUUUGAUUAAGUCAGAGCAUGGAGCAAAAGAUGGAGCAAAAGUCUCAGUAGCCACGAUGAAUGAGAUGAAACAUGGAGCAAAAGAUGUAGGCCAAAGAGAUGAUGAAAAUGAAGAAUACAUCCAUGUGUGUUCUUUCACGUCAAUGAGUGUACACCUUGACAGAGAAAUGGAAAGUGGAACCGAUGGUAUGCACCUUUCGCUUGCAAAUAUCAUUACACCAUACAAUCUUUGAUUUGCUCCCACAACCACCAAAGCAGAAAAUAUGCUUGCAGCUUUGGGAUUUCUAAUCACCAAUUUUUAACUAAUAUUUAAGUAAUAAAUAAUGUAUCAUUUAUCUCAAUUGUUAAGAACAUAUUUAAAGAAGAAGAAGAAGAAGAAGAAGAAGAAGGAAAAGAAGAAAAAAAGAAUUGCGUAUAUCAAUUGCUUCUCCUUUUAAGGAGAAUAAAAUGGUUAGAGCUCCUUGCAAUGAGAAAAUGAGAUUGAAAAGGGGUGCAUGAACCGCCGAAGAAGAUUAAACUUUGAUACCUUACAUUCAACAAUCUGGUCAUGGAAAUUGGCAUCUCCUUCCCAAACAAGAAGCAAGGAAAUAUGAUGGAGUGCAGCACGGAAGGGAUUAAGAACAUACCUCUACUAUUAUUUGUAUCUUAUGAUCAACGACAGUCUUCAUUAUUGGAUAUCAUAAGGUAAUUGUUCAGUUUGUUAUCAUUUGUAUCGAAAGACAGACUCCAUUAAAAGGAUAUGGUUGGCUCUUUAGUUGAUGUAUAUAGAUCAUCCAUAAGACAUGUAAUCGAUAGUUGAUUCGGUAUGGGAGAGUCGUAGAUUCAUAGGUUUAAUGCCAGUGAAUUAUAGCUUAGUAUGCUUUUUACUUUAUAUUUACAUAUAAAUGAGAUGUUUGAAUAUCGUUUUAAGUACAUAAGGUUUUGAAAUUUGGAA